GCCCUUAUCACCCAGAGAGUCAAGGUGCACUGGAACGAUUUCAUCAAACCCUAAAAACCAUGUUGCGCAAAUACUGCCUUGAAUCAGGUGCUCCUCCGUGGUUGGUGCAUCCAGGGUGGAUGGCUCGCACCGAUUGGCUGACGACCGGGAGGCAGCGGAUGAGAAGAGACCACCAGGGACUGCCAUUCAUUCAUCCUCGGCCCAACCCAACCGGCAGACCGUUCACUGUGUCACUGUUACUAUGUUGGUUAAUGUAAGAGCAUGUAGGGGUGGACCGCCUUUUUGUUUGAUCAGUUUUCUCCUGUUUCUGUUAGGUAGGGAGGAAAGUGAUUGUCGUUUGGUUUAGUUCUUUUGAGUAGGUAAGUUGUGUUUAUUCCUGAGAUAGGCUAUCUUUUGUUUGUUGUUUUGGCCUUGGGUUCACCCUGAAGUUAUGAUAUGCUCCCUUCCUUUGUUUAACUGCACUCAUUGUAAAUAAAUCACUGUCACAAA
Long non-coding RNA from Oreochromis niloticus (Nile tilapia), 489 nucleotides. RefSeq lists it as uncharacterized. The transcript has 2 exons. NCBI's taxonomy places the organism in Eukaryota, Metazoa, Chordata, Actinopteri, Cichliformes, Cichlidae. The record is from RefSeq and is a predicted model, not a curated record.